Molecule: long non-coding RNA, 338 nt
Filed under: Setaria italica (foxtail millet)
Lineage: Eukaryota; Viridiplantae; Streptophyta; Magnoliopsida; Poales; Poaceae
Description: long non-coding RNA (SITA_LNC001538)
Source: RNAcentral
AAAAAACCAACACCAGUUUAAUAUGGUAUAGUAUUUUGUUCCUCUUCUUUUCAGUUGCUUUUCAGAAGGUUGAUUGAUCUGGCAUAACAUAUAUGAGUUAUGUUCUUAUAGAUCUGCAUCUGAAUUUGUUUUGCAGUGAGAUGAUGUUCAUGAUGAGGUGCAGCAAGAGGCUGGUUGGAUUAUCUUGCCAGGAGUAGUAGAUUAGGUAUAGAUGUGGUUUGCAGAAUACUAGUCGUUUGUGCAUCGUAGCAGUGUGUUAGGGAUAUCUUUCAUAUAGGCUAGCAAGAGGGAUAACUUUAGGUUGAUUAGAAGGAUUUGUCGCGUGUCAAUCAGGAGAG